Molecule: transfer RNA, 72 nt
Filed under: Camelus bactrianus (Bactrian camel)
Lineage: Eukaryota; Metazoa; Chordata; Mammalia; Artiodactyla; Camelidae
Also listed under: 2 other names
Rfam family: tRNA
About the family: Transfer RNA (tRNA) molecules are approximately 80 nucleotides in length. Their secondary structure includes four short double-helical elements and three loops (D, anti-codon, and T loops).
Source: Rfam by way of RNAcentral
GAGGGUGUAGCUUAGUGGUCGAGUGCGUGCUUGGGAUCUAUGAGGUCCUGGGUUCAAUCCCCAGUGCCUCCA